GUACCAGUUUCGUGGCUUUGAAUAGUCGUAUAUUUCCUGAUAUUAUAUGCUGCUCCUGCUGUUUAUUUCCAUUUUCUUUAUAAUUCAAAGAAAAGUAAGAAAAAAAGUGAAAUAAAAGUAGAUUCAGGUUGCUGUUAAACCGGAUCGCCACGAAAUGAAACUCGGUUUCGCUUCUGCUGCAAGCAGCAACAAAUGACGGCACAUUUCUCUGUUUUUAACUUUCUGAGAGAAAAUUGUUGAGAUUUUCAGAAAAAUGUUGCUGCCACAGGUGUAAUCCUUUUUUAGUUGUACAUUUACUGAUAUAUUCGUGGGAAGGAAAGUUUGCCCCUUGGAAAAAUACAGGUGUGCUUCUUCAAGCGCUCUGUGAGCCACAGGAGUUAGAGGGUGCGUGUCCUGCAUGAAACAGAAGAGUCACACCAGCACUGUAUGGAGGAAGAUGGGGUUUCCAAACCACAGGAGCACCGUCCUGGGAGCCUAGCCUUCAGCAGCGUACAGCCAGAGUUCCUCACCGUGGGACAGACAGUGGCGCUUUGCACAAGACGUUGCAAAGGAUUUAUUGAUCUCAAAAGAAAACGGCAUUGCUCUAACACAAGUGACGCACCGCGGAGAAGACAAAUUUCCUGUUCCCUUAAUGGAGAGGAUAAGAAAAAAAGCAAGUAAGUAAAUGAACAAGACAAUUUCAGCAAAUAUGUGUUAUGAAGAAAAUAAAAUGGGUGAAACAGGGGGAAAAUAACUUUUGUUUUAAAAGUAAAUAACAACACUGGAGUCAGUCGUUGUUCCACUCCUGGAC
Molecule: long non-coding RNA, 790 nt
Filed under: Equus caballus (horse)
Lineage: Eukaryota; Metazoa; Chordata; Mammalia; Perissodactyla; Equidae
Description: lncRNA (ENSECAG00000054991.1)
Source: RNAcentral